Molecule: long non-coding RNA, 670 nt
Organism: Neopsephotus bourkii (Bourke's parrot)
Lineage: Eukaryota; Metazoa; Chordata; Aves; Psittaciformes; Psittacidae
Exons: 3
Source: RefSeq, a predicted model, not a curated record
GUUACAAACCAGCAACCCCAUAUGUGAUGGUACCCAUAUAAAUGCCCAGACUACACAGGCACAGAGGUUACAACUUGGAUGCUGGAGUUAACUUAUUUAAAUACACCAAUCACUAAGAAAAUUCUGCUAAUUCUGGUGUUGAAAUCUUACUGCUUUCCUGUCUACAGGAAGCCUUACCCUUUUACGUUACUGUAGAAGUCCCUGUGUCCCUUAGCAAGUGCCUCUGAUACAGUACUAGAAAAUUCCUAUGAGGAAGAAAGAAAAAAAAAAGAAAAUUAUGGUGAGCUUCAUCUUGCUUUCCACAGCUGACACAGCCCAAGACAAACAGCUGGGUUUUCUGAAGUCAUAUGUUCAUUUCCUGAAAACUCAGUGGAAUGGGAGGACUCAAGGAUCGUGUGUGUGAACCAAAACAAUAUUGUUCUCCUCCCCAGACAAAACCCCAAACAGCCUAGCACUUCAGGCCAUAUGCAGCAUAUGUGUUGGCACCAGAGUCUUGUUUGGCAAAAUUUCUAUAGUUGCUACUUGAAAUAAGAGUGAAAAGAAAAGCACAGCCUCAGCAAGCGAAGUCUUACACACAGCCUGGCUGCACGAUCUGCUGCAGAGGAAUAUAUACACUGAAGAAAUUCUUAAACAUGUAUUCACUUUCAGCAUUUUUCAGUCCACCUUACUC